Molecule: ribosomal RNA, 377 nt
Filed under: uncultured eukaryote
Lineage: Eukaryota
Description: partial 18S ribosomal RNA
Rfam family: Eukaryotic small subunit ribosomal RNA
Source: RNAcentral
CAAUAGCGUAUAUUUAAGUUGCUGCAGUUAAAAAGCUCGUAGUUGGAUUUCGGGUGGGAAUGGCCGGUCCGCCGUUUCGGUGUGCACUUGCUACGCCCACCUUGCUGCCGGGGACGUGCUCUUGAGUUCACGCUCGGGACACGGAGUCGGCGAGGUUACUUUGAGUAAAUUAGAGUGUUCAAGGCAGGCCGUCGCCUGAAUACAUUAGCAUGGAAUAAUGGAAGAGGACCUCGGUCCUAUUUUGUUGGUUUCUAGGGCCGAAGUAAUGAUUAAGAGGGACAGUUGGGGGCAUUCGUAUUUAAUUGUCAGAGGUGAAAUUCUUGGAUUUAUGAAAGACGAACUAGUGCGAAAGCAUUUGCCAAGGAUGUUUUCAUUAA